This 497-nucleotide ribosomal RNA is filed under the name uncultured bacterium. RNAcentral describes it as "partial 16S ribosomal RNA". It matches the Rfam family "Bacterial small subunit ribosomal RNA", at positions 28 to 507 of the family's 1533-position model. The record is from RNAcentral.
GAUGAACGCUGGCGGCGUGCCUAAUACAUGCAAGUCGAGCGUACAGACGAGGAGCUUGCUCCUCUGACGUUAGCGGCGGACGGGUGAGUAACACGUGGAUAACCUACCUAUAAGACUGGGAUAACUUCGGGAAACCGGAGCUAAUACCGGAUAAUAUAUUGAACCGCAUGGUUCAAUAGUGAAAGACGGUUUUGCUGUCACUUAUAGAUGGAUCCGCGCCGCAUUAGCUAGUUGGUAAGGUAACGGCUUACCAAGGCAACGAUGCGUAGCCGACCUGAGAGGGUGAUCGGCCACACUGGAACUGAGACACGGUCCAGACUCCUACGGGAGGCAGCAGUAGGGAAUCUUCCGCAAUGGGCGAAAGCCUGACGGAGCAACGCCGCGUGAGUGAUGAAGGUCUUCGGACCGUAAAACUCUGUUAUUAGGGAAGAACAAAUGUGUAAGUAACUAUGCACGUCUUGACGGUACCUAAUCAGAAAGCCACGGCUAACUACGUG